UAAUUUCAACGUACAUGUGUAAUAAAGUAAAGUGUUGUGGUGUGUUUAAGUUGACUAAUUGUCUCUAGACACUUGACCAAAAUUGUCGGUCGAAUGGGUCAACAAUAAACAUGUGAAUUGUAACCAGUCUGGUCGCCUACUCUCGGUGUCCUUGAUAAUAUAUGAGCAUUUUUCUCAU
Non-coding RNA from Nylanderia fulva, 178 nucleotides. The record is from RefSeq and is a predicted model, not a curated record. Lineage: Eukaryota; Metazoa; Arthropoda; Insecta; Hymenoptera; Formicidae.